Ochotona princeps (American pika) is the source of this 307-nucleotide long non-coding RNA. RefSeq lists it as uncharacterized. NCBI's taxonomy places the organism in Eukaryota, Metazoa, Chordata, Mammalia, Lagomorpha, Ochotonidae. The record is from RefSeq and is a predicted model, not a curated record. The transcript is spliced from 3 exons.
GAAGUUAGAACACCAACAUGUAUAUGGAGAAAAGCUGAAUCAAAGAGAAGAGAGAACAUUUGCUGCGCUAGGAACACUGCAGGACUCAGAUCCAUUAGCUUUACACUGUGGCUUGCACCAUCCUGCCUCUGCUCUGUGCUGGGAGCUCUUGAGAAGAUCCAAAGAGACAAACUCUGACCCUAGAUGUAUGAUCAUCUGCUGCAGGAGAGGAUGCAUACUUCUUCCUCUAAUUAGUUGAAAAAUGAAGAAGGAUUGGCAUAAGCAUUUUCCAGCAUACAUGAAGCUUUGGGAACUAAGAAGAAAAAUA